Molecule: non-coding RNA, 539 nt
Organism: Phascolarctos cinereus (koala)
Lineage: Eukaryota; Metazoa; Chordata; Mammalia; Diprotodontia; Phascolarctidae
Source: RefSeq, a predicted model, not a curated record
UGUCCAGGGUGUUGACCAAUGCCCAAAGAAAGGCACUCCAAGAACUUCCCUGGGGAGAAAACUGGAAUUCAGAAGAGACUGCGCCCCUAGCUCUCUGUCCACAACAAAAAUGUAGCACACCUAUCCAAGUCCAAUUUGGAGAAUCACUGCAACAAAGAAAUUGAAGACAAUGUGCUAAGGGUGCUAUGACCUAUCCUAUACCCAGGUCCUUUUAAGACCAGGGCAGACUCACUCUUCCAGAGUAUGGGACUUCCAAAAGGCACAAAUGCAUCUGUGAAAAAUCAGCACUUCUCAGGGAGGAUCAGUCAGCUUAGCACACCUACUGAUAGAGAGGUGACACUGUAUCCUGGCUUCAGACAUGGCUGCUGCUUCCACGAUUACUGCACAUGUGGCAAACCUUCCUAAUCACUAUGUGUUCUUCAAUGAACAAGCGGAAUGGCCUAGGUAUCCUGCAGGCUUUGAAGAGACACCAUCUAUCUGUUCAAGAUGGUUUGGUGACAAUGGCUGAAGAACUCUGCACAACUACUAAAUAAAUCCCC